Molecule: ribosomal RNA, 253 nt
Filed under: uncultured bacterium
Lineage: Bacteria
Description: partial 16S ribosomal RNA
Rfam family: Bacterial small subunit ribosomal RNA
Source: RNAcentral
UACAGAGGUCCCAAGCGUUGUUCGGAUUCAUUGGGCGUAAAGGGUGCGUAGGUGGCGCUGUAAGUCGGGUGUGAAAUUUCGGAGCUUAACUCCGAAACUGCAUUCGAUACUGCGGUGCUUGAGGACUGGAGAGGAGACUGGAAUUCAUGGUGUAGCAGUGAAAUGCGUAGAGAUCAUGAGGAAGUCCAGUGGCGAAGGCGGGUCUCUGGACAGUUCCUGACACUGAGGCACGAAGGCCAGGGGAGCAAACGGG